RNAcentral lists this ribosomal RNA (698 nucleotides) under uncultured Limnohabitans sp. Its description in RNAcentral is "bacterial SSU rRNA". It matches the Rfam family "Bacterial small subunit ribosomal RNA", at positions 8 to 705 of the family's 1533-position model. The record is from RNAcentral. Lineage: Bacteria; Pseudomonadati; Pseudomonadota; Betaproteobacteria; Burkholderiales; Comamonadaceae.
AGAGUUUGAUCCUGGCUCAGAUUGAACGCUGGCGGAAUGCUUUACACAUGCAAGUCGAACGGUAGAGGGGGCAACCCCUUGAGAGUGGCGAACGGGUGAGUAAUAUAUCGGAACGUGCCCAGUCGUGGGGGAUAACGUAGCGAAAGUUACGCUAAUACCGCAUACGAUCUAAGGAUGAAAGCGGGGGAUCGCAAGACCUCGCGCGAUUGGAGCGGCCGAUAUCAGAUUAGGUAGUUGGUGGGGUAAAGGCUCACUAAGCCAACGAUCUGUAGCUGGUCUGAGAGGACGACCAGCCACACUGGAACUGAGACACGGUCCAGACUCCUACGGGAGGCAGCAGUGGGGAAUUUUGGACAAUGGACGCAAGUCUGAUCCAGCCAUUCCGCGUGCAGGAUGAAGGCCCUCGGGUUGUAAACUGCUUUUGUACGGAACGAAAAGGUUUGUCUUAAUACGAUGAGCUCAUGACGGUACCGUAAGAAUAAGCACCGGCUAACUACGUGCCAGCAGCCGCGGUAAUACGUAGGGUGCAAGCGUUAAUCGGAAUUACUGGGCGUAAAGCGUGCGCAGGCGGUUAUGUAAGACAGAGGUGAAAUCCCCGGGCUCAACCUGGGAACUGCCUUUGUGACUGCAUAGCUAGAGUACGGUAGAGGGGGAUGGAAUUCCGCGUGUAGCAGUGAAAUGCGUAGAUAUGCGGAGGA